This 752-nucleotide unclassified non-coding RNA is filed under the name Tolpis lagopoda. RNAcentral describes it as "partial external transcribed spacer". Lineage: Eukaryota; Viridiplantae; Streptophyta; Magnoliopsida; Asterales; Asteraceae. The record is from RNAcentral.
ACCCUGAUCCCAAGCACCAUGGAGCCGACGAUUUGGAUCAAGACCUACAUCCCAAGCACCAAGGUGCCUGGUUGAUAUUGAUCGCGAUCCCGAUCCGGAGCUCCAGGGCGCCGAGGAUUUCGAUCACGAUCCCGAUCUGAAGCACCGAGUAGCCGAGGAUAUGGAUCAAGACCCCGGUCCGAAGCGACAAGGAGGCAAGGAUUUGGAUCACCAAUCCGAUCAAAGGCACCAAGGCGUCGAGGGAUUGGAUCGAGAUCCCGAUCCCAAUCAUGAAGUUGGCUAUGUAAUUUCCUGUUUUCCACACCGUUCAGGGCAUUUUGGUGGUCGUAUCGGCUUUUAGUUGCUUGCUUGGUGUUAGUGCCAAGGGAGUGGUUGGAAGCUAGGUCGUCCUCUGGAAUGCUUGUUGUAAAGGUGUAUGAGUUGUGUUUGGCUUGUUACGGGUGUUUGUUGGCUGCUUGUGCAGGAACUUUCAUGCGUCCAAGCCUCUUCAGUUGUGCUACAAGGCUUUGUUUGUCUUGUGCAUACGGUGGGUUUCCUGUGUUGCAUACCUAAUCAAGGGCAUCGUAUGGCUUGAUAGAAGUAAAUAUUCGUAAUGCGCCGCUUGCGGCGUUGCACGAACCUCGAAGUGGUCUCUGUGGCCCAUGUUGUCUUUGCUCAUGCAUGGAUGGCAUGGCCCUCGGAGCGUCGCUUGGUCUCUUGGAUAUGGAACCUGAUGAUGUGGGCGGUAGGGUCUUGGAUGAUUCUACCUUCGC